Small nuclear RNA from Sciurus vulgaris (Eurasian red squirrel), 107 nucleotides. Lineage: Eukaryota; Metazoa; Chordata; Mammalia; Rodentia; Sciuridae. The record is from Ensembl.
GUAUUCACUUCAGCAGCACAUAUACUAAAACCAGAACGAUACAGAGGAGAUUAGCAUGGCUGCUAAGCAAGAAUAAGAAGCUAAUUCAUGAAAUGUUCCAUGUUUUU